UGCCAACGACAAGUUGGAGGAAGGUGGGAUGACGUCAAAUCAUCAUGCCCUUAUGACCUGGGCUACAACGUACUACAAUGGCCAAUACAAAGAGAUGCGAAGCGGUGACGUGGAGCGAACCUCAGAAAGUUGGUCUCAGUUCAGAUUGAAGUCUGCAACUCGACUUCAUGAAGGCGGAAUCGCUAGUAAUCGCGAGUCAGCAGAUCGCGGUGAAUACGUUCCGGGUUU
This 228-nucleotide ribosomal RNA is filed under the name uncultured Mollicutes bacterium. RNAcentral's name for it is "partial 16S ribosomal RNA". It matches the Rfam family "Bacterial small subunit ribosomal RNA", at positions 1150 to 1377 of the family's 1533-position model. The record is from RNAcentral. Lineage: Bacteria; Bacillati; Mycoplasmatota; Mollicutes.